Molecule: ribosomal RNA, 388 nt
Filed under: uncultured bacterium
Lineage: Bacteria
Description: bacterial SSU rRNA
Rfam family: Bacterial small subunit ribosomal RNA
Source: RNAcentral
GAACGAACGCUGGCGGCAUGCUUUACACAUGCAAGUCGAACGGCAGCACGGGGGCAACCCUGGUGGCGAGUGGCGAACGGGUGAGUAACACAUCGGAACGUGUCCAGUUGUGGGGGAUAACCCAUCGAAAGGUGGGCUAAUACCGCAUGAGCUGGCAACAGGAAAGCGGGGGACCCGCAAGGGCCUUGUGCGAUUGGAGCGGCCGAUGUCCGAUUAGCUAGUUGGUGGGGUAAAGGCCACCAAGGCUUCGAUCGGUAGCUGGUCUGAGAGGAUGAUCAGCCACACCGGGACUGAGACACGGCCCAGACUCCUACGGGAGGCAGCAGUGGGGAAUUUUGGACAAUGGGGCAAGCCUGAUCCAGCCAUGCCGCGUGGGUGAAGAAGGCCU